GGGCAAGUUUGGUGCCAGCAGCCGCGGUAAUACCGACUCCAAGAGUGUGUAUGAGAGAUGCUGCAGUUAAAAAGUCCGUAGUCAUAGAAGGGCAAAGAGAGAUGCGAGGUCUCACAGUGCGAUGAUGGAGGAGCCGAUGGGGAACAUAGUAUACCAGGGCGAGAGAUGAAAUGCCAAGACCCCUGGUGGACUGAGCGAGGCGAAGGCGAUGUUCUUGUAGGCAUUCGGUGAUCAAGGACGAAGGCUGGAGUAUCGAAAGUGAUUAGAUACCGCAGUAGUUCCAGCAGUAAAAGAUGCCGACAUGCUCAUGGGACACAGUGGGCAGGGAGAAAUCUUAGAGUUCGGGCUCUGGGGAUAGUAUGCUCGCAAGGGUGAAAAUUAAAGAAAUUGACGGAGCUACACCACAAGGAGUGGAUUGUGCGGCUUAAUUUGACUCAACGCGAGGAAACUUACCAGGGCCAAGUAUUGUGUAGAAACGAGCAAUACAGGAGUGGUGCAUGGUCGUUGGAAAUUGAUGGGAUGACUUUGACCUUAAAUGGUUGAAUGAGUGAGAUCUUUUGGACAUGUUCCGCACGGAACAGGAAGGAAAAGGCUAUAACAGAUCCGAGAUGCCCUCAGAUUCCCUGGGCUGCACGCGCAAUACAAUAGCAGGUAGAGAGAGAGACAGGAAGGUGCUCAGAUGGACUAUGUGCUGUAAGGCACAUACGAAAGAGGAAUUCCUAGUAAGUGUGUAUCA
This 736-nucleotide ribosomal RNA is filed under the name Vittaforma corneae. Its description in RNAcentral is "SSU rRNA". It matches the Rfam family "Microsporidia small subunit ribosomal RNA", at positions 379 to 1153 of the family's 1311-position model. The record is from RNAcentral. Lineage: Eukaryota; Fungi; Microsporidia; Nosematidae.